GAGUUUGAUCCUGGCUCAGGAUGAACGCUAGCGGCAGGCCUAAUACAUGCAAGUCGAGCGGCAAGAUUCUUUCGGGAAUCCUAGAGCGGCGCACGGGUGCGUAACGCGUAUGCAACCUACCUUCAGCUGGGGGAUAGCCCGGGGAAACCCGGAUUAAUACCCCAUGGUAUCACAAGAGGGCAUCUGAAUGUGAUUAAAGAUUUAUUGGCUGAAGAUGGGCAUGCGUCUGAUUAGCUAGUUGGUAGUGUAAAGGACUACCAAGGCAACGAUCAGUAGGGGGUCUGAGAGGAUGAUCCCCCACACUGGCACUGAGAUACGGGCCAGACUCCUACGGGAGGCAGCAGA
Molecule: ribosomal RNA, 345 nt
Filed under: uncultured bacterium
Lineage: Bacteria
Description: bacterial SSU rRNA
Rfam family: Bacterial small subunit ribosomal RNA
Source: RNAcentral